This 628-nucleotide ribosomal RNA is filed under the name uncultured bacterium. RNAcentral describes it as "bacterial SSU rRNA". It matches the Rfam family "Bacterial small subunit ribosomal RNA", at positions 163 to 807 of the family's 1533-position model. The record is from RNAcentral.
CUAAUACCGCAUAAGCCCACGACCCGGCAUCGGGUAGAGGGAAAAGGAGCAAUCCGCUUUGAGAUGGCCUCGCGUCCGAUUAGCUAGUUGGUGAGGUAACGGCCCACCAAGGCGACGAUCGGUAGCCGGACUGAGAGGUUGAACGGCCACAUUGGGACUGAGACACGGCCCAGACUCCUACGGGAGGCAGCAGUGGGGAAUAUUGCACAAUGGGGGAAACCCUGAUGCAGCGACGCCGCGUGGAGGAAGAAGGUCUUCGGAUUGUAAACUCCUGUUGUUGAGGAAGAUAAUGACGGUACUCAACAAGGAAGUGACGGCUAACUACGUGCCAGCAGCCGCGGUAAAACGUAGGUCACAAGCGUUGUCCGGAAUUACUGGGUGUAAAGGGAGCGCAGGCGGGAAGACAAGUUGGAAGUGAAAUCCAUGGGCUCAACCCAUGAACUGCUUUCAAAACUGUUUUUCUUGAGUAGUGCAGAGGUAGGCGGAAUUCCCGGUGUAGCGGUGGAAUGCGUAGAUAUCGGGAGGAACACCAGUGGCGAAGGCGGCCUACUGGGCACCAACUGACGCUGAGGCUCGAAAGUGUGGGUAGCAAACAGGAUUAGAUACCCUGGUAGUCCACACUGUAAAC